UACGUAGGGUGCGAGCGUUGUCCGGAAUUAUUGGGCGUAAAGAGCUUGUAGGUGGCUCGUUGCGUCGGGAGUGAAAACCUGCGGCUUAACCGCAGGCCUGCUUCCGAUACGGGCGAGCUAGAGUUCGGCAGGGGAGACUGGAAUUCCUGGUGUAGCGGUGGAAUGCGCAGAGUAUCAGGAGGAACACCGGUGGCGAAGGCGGGUCUCUGGGCCGAUGACUGACACUGGAGAAGCGAAAGCGUGGGGAGCGAACAGG
RNAcentral lists this ribosomal RNA (256 nucleotides) under uncultured bacterium. RNAcentral describes it as "partial 16S ribosomal RNA". It matches the Rfam family "Bacterial small subunit ribosomal RNA", at positions 524 to 776 of the family's 1533-position model. The record is from RNAcentral.